UUUUUUUUUUCCUUUUAAGUUUAAAAUAUCCAUGCAGAGAGAAAUGAAAGGUCUGGAACUUUACAGUUAAAAUCAUUUUCCUAAUCUUCGUUCAAUUGAUUAAACAAAAUUUUCUUUAAUACUCAAUUUGUAAUAUGGAUGAUUCAUUCCAAUUUUGAUCCUUGUUAUUUGACUUAUAAAAGUGAGAGAUGCUUCAUUUUUAUUUUUAUUUUGCUUUCAGCAGCAAAUUCAAGAUAUCUUGAUAUAUAUAUAUAUUAUAUAUAUAUAUAUAUAUAUAUAUAUAUAUAUAUAUAUAUAUAUAUAUAUAUAUAUAUAUAUAGUAUAGUAUAUAUAUAUAUAUAUCUAUAUAUAUAUAUAUUAUAUAUAUAUAUUUAUUAUAUAUAUAUAUUAAAGAUUGUAACUAAUUGUCUACCUAUGAUGGCCUAUAGUCAUCUAGGCAUGAACAAGUUUGUAUUCAAAUAAGUAAAUCAUCCAACCUGUAAACCAAAUUAAUUAAUCUCAAUGUCAUAUCUUUCAUCAUAUGAUUCAGGACCACUAAACAAAAACAUAUAAAACUUUGUUUACAAGUGUUAAAUGGUAACAAAAAAAUAGAGAUAUAAGAAAAGUCAAAGAGCAAAAAAUAGAGAGAAAAUUGGACUAUAAGUAAAGGUUAACAUCUCCAUUUCAAUCCCAAGAACCACCAUACUUUGUUAUUGAGAUCUCAUGUGCUUUUUGUAACCCCUCCAUAUGCUUGCACACUCUCAUGCAUACAUAAAUAUAGGUAUAAAGAAAAAGAGAAUGAGAUUCCAUACAGAUAAUAAAGUGAAUGGACCCAAUGAUUGAUCUUUUUCCUUACAUUUUUACCUUUCUUAUCCAUCACUCCAACACUAACCUUCAGAAGCCACAUAUCAACCUUCAUACUUCAAAUAUAUAAAAGUUACUUACAAGAAAAACAUGAUUUAUGGUAUAAUAUCUCACCCAACGAAUCAUCCUUCAAGCUUCCUUGAUUCUUCCUCCAUGAUUAAACAUUUUUAAUGAAUAUACACUUUUGGUCUAAAAUAAUUUUAUAUCUACCUUCAAGAACACGGAUUGCAAUUUGCUGCAGUCACACAGUCUCGGCAAUCAUGCAGUCAAGUUUGUUUGACCAUCCGAUCAAAAUCAGACAAUUUUUAUUUUAAAUUAGCAUUUUUUAAUUAUAAUAUAAAAAACAAUUUUAUUUUUUAGAAUCGUGUCAUUAAGAUCAAACGAUUUAUAAUACAAUGAUUGGUUGAAUCCAUCGAAAAUUGACCGCAAAAAAUCUAUUUUCUAAGAACAUAUUAUCAUAUAUUGUCGUGUCAAUCUAUUUUAUGGUUGAAAAAGUUAUUUCAAAAAUACUAAAUUUUCAAUAGACAUCAACAUAAACCUAAUUUACAUUGACGAUGCAUAUCAACUCAUAUUCUCAUAUACUUUAAUAUGAAUCAUAUAUCUAUUACACAUAAUUAAAAAGACUAAUCAUUCAAAUAAAUAAAAAAACACAACAGACAACAAAAUUGUUUUUCAAAAUAUACAAUAGAAUUUGAAUCUAAAACCUUUAAUUUAACUCGAAAAUAAAAUUGUCAUCUCAUUCAUAAUUCAAACAUGAUUAUAACUUUAUUAUGAAUAAUUCAUUAAUUAAUAUUUAAUGACAUUCAUCACCUUUUGACACACUGCCAAAGUGUCGAAAAAAUGAUGGAAUCAUCCCUCGUGGUUUAGUUUCCAAAAAGCAAUGCCCUUCACAAGAGGUUGUAUGGCAGAUCCCCACCUUCCCAUGUUACAACUUCCCCUCUUACCUGUCCCUACGUUCCCUACAUUUUAUAAAACCUCUCACCUCCCUCUCUUCCCUCUCCCUCCAAUCUCUCUCUCUCUCUCUCUUCACAUUACUCACACACUUUUCAUAAUGUGUAGCUCUAAGGCUAAAGAAACUAUAGUCCUAGAAUCUUCCACAACACCUCCUCAUGUUUCUAGAAUCAAUGGAAGACAAGUACUUCAACCUACAUGCAACCAUGUUCUUGUUCCAAAUCUUGAAAGAAGAAACUCAAUGAAAAAACUUACAUCAAAAUCACUUUUUUCACCACCACUUCCAAACAAGACUUCUACUACUACUACUACUACUUCAUUGUCACCACCAAUUUCUCCAAAGCCAAAAUCUCCUACUAGACCAUUCUUAGCUAUAAAGAGAGGAAAUGACAACAAUGGAAUGAACUCAAGUUGUGAAAAGAUUGUUAUACCAAAAAACACAAUGAAAACUCCAUGUUUAGAGAGAAAGAAAUCAAAGAGUUUCAAAGAAGGGUCUUAUGGUGUUGAAGCUUCUUUGAGUUAUUCUUCUUCUUCGAUCACUGAUUCUCCAGGAAGUAUAGCGGCAGGGAGAAGGGAACAGAUGGCACUUCAACAGGCACAAAGGAAAAUGAAGAUUGCUCAUUAUGGAAGAUCGAAGUCUGCGAAAUUUGAAAGAGUUUUUCCUAUUGAUCCUUCAAGUGCUCUUGAUUUAAAGACUAGUAAUGAAGAGGAGAAGAGGUGCAGCUUUAUCACAGCCAAUUCAGGUAAUUUCGUAGUAAAUAAUUUGAUACAAGUUCUUAUAUACCCUUUUUGCUUUAUCUUAAUGUUAAUCUAUAUGUCUCUUUUGAUGAAUAGAUCCUAUCUAUAUUGCUUAUCAUGAUGAAGAAUGGGGAGUUCCUGUUCAUGAUGACAAGUAAGCUCCUAUUUUUCUAUCUCUCUCACAGAUACGGACAUCUGACACACACCAACACGUCAACAACAAUUGUUUGAGAAAACGAAUAUUUAAAUGUAAUUACAUGUAUGUGUUUCAUGUCAAUAUUGAAUACUAACACAUGUUAGAUAUCAGACACAUCUUUAAUAUAAUUACAUGAACUGACACAUGUCAGUCAUGGACAUCUGACACACAGUAACACGUUGAUUCUGAUAGUUUGACAAAAAGACUAUUUUAAUGUAAUUACAUGUGUAUGUGUUUUGUUCGUGUCAGAUACAAAUACGUGUUAGAUAUGAGAUAUCGAACACGUAUUCAAUCUGAAAUAUCGUGUCAGAUAAUAAUACAUGUCAGAUAUCAAACAUGCUUACAAUAUGAAUACGAAGGAUCAGUUAUCUACAAACACACAUAAACUAAUUGCAACAAAAAUGAAUUUGCUGAGACAAAUGAUGAAGACUAACAAAAACCAUAUGUUAUUGUCCAUAAUUCAGGAUGUUGUUUGAACUUCUAAUUCUAAGUGGUGCUCAAGUUGGAUCUGAUUGGACCUCAACCUUAAAAAAACGCCUAGAUUUCAGGUUUGAUUCUGCUAAAAGCCAUUCAUAUGAAUAAACAUAAACAUUUUUUUAUUUUAUUUCUUGUUUUUGAUGGAACUAAUAAUAAUUUUUAAAUUUAUGUACAGGGUUGCAUUUUCAGAAUUUGAUGCAGAAAUUGUGGCCAACUUCACUGAUAAACAAAUGAUAUCUAUUAGUUCAGAAUAUGGCAUUGAUAUAAGCAAAGUUAGAGGAGUUGUUGACAAUGCUAACCAAAUUUUACAAGUUAAAAAAGUGUUUGGUUCAUUUGACAAAUACAUAUGGGGAUUUGUGAACCAAAAACCAAUCUCAACUCAAUACAAAUUUGGCCACAAGAUUCCAGUGAAGACAUCAAAAUCAGAAAGCAUAAGCAAAGACAUGAUUAGGAGAGGUUUUAGGUUUGUUGGUCCAACAGUGGUUCAUUCAUUUAUGCAGGCAGCUGGCCUAACAAAUGAUCACUUAAUCACUUGCCAUAGGCACUUGCAAUGCACUUUCUUGGAAGCUAUGUAAGAGAUUGUUAAUUGACCCUACAAGAGCUCAAGAGAUGGAUUGAAAGUAAUGUAAUUCAAUGUGCUAACUAUAGUUUACUUCAUGUUAAUUGUUGUGUAUAGUAUUAGAGAUAGGUUUAAAAGUUUUUCUUUUUCUUUCUGAUUUGUGAGUUGUUGUGAGAAUUUUAAUGAUAAGUUUGAGUGUGCUAAAGCUUUUUCAUUUGCAUAAUUCAAGAAGAAAAAGGUUUUGGAUGGUCAUUUUGCGCGUUAACUCUCUCACGCAUAAUCGUUUUAAGUUUUUUAAGAUUCAGUGUUAGUUAGUUACGAUUCAACAGUUGAAAAAUGAAUAGGAUCCUAUUUAGACAGGUUUAACAAUGACAAAUAUUUUUUGAAAGUCAUGUGCGGUAGUCCACCUUACACAUCCUCAAGACGACUUUAGUGUCACGCAUUUUUUAAUCUCAAAUGCUUGAAGAUUGUAUAAAGUUGAUUUUUAUUGUGUGUAAUCUGAAUCGGCUAAUCUCAAACUUAAGCCCAAUGCAAUAAUUGUGUCGCACAUUUUUCAAUCAUCUGAUCUCAAAUUAACAACUAAAAUCAUUUAAAGUGAAUAUAAACCCUUAGAUAUCAGAUUAGUGAUCACAACGAGAUAAUUUACUGCGUGUAAAAAUGAAUGCAUGAGAGAAUCCAAAUCCAUCUGAUCUCAAAUUAACGAUCAAAAUUAUUUAAAGUGAACGUGAACCAUCUGAUCUCAGAUUAACGAUCAAGACGAGACCGUUAUAAGUCCGAACACGAGAGAAUCGAGAUCCUAUAAUAAGUGGUGGGAGUGUUAGGGAACAGUCAGCAAGUGCAUGUGCAAAUGGGAGACAAUGGCAUGUGUGGUGUCAGUUUGCUUUGCAAAAGACCAUGUGACCCAUCAAAACUUUGCAUUAUUUGGUUUCCUUUAACAGGCUGUGUGGGAUACUAGUUGAAGGGUAUGUAGGGACCAAUGUAACAUUUCUCUUUGCUUUGUUUAUCAAGUUUUGUUAUUUUAUCUUUAUUGUAUUCUUCUAACUUUUUGGCUUCAGUGAAUAUGAUAUUAAUAUAUUAUACACUUUUCCAAUAUAUUUUGGACUUGGUGUGGAUCUUUUGAGUGGCCUUCAAUUCAUUUCUCAUGUGCUUAUGUACUAUUUCAUUGUUACUACUAACUUUAUAUAUUACUUUUUCUAUUUUUUUUAUAACUUGUUAAGAUAAGUAUAUCAUAUCUUCUCCCAUGUGGCCAUUUCACUUUCUUUCUUGUAAUUGGUUACAACAACAUUGAAUAUGCUUUAAACUAAUUAAUGAUUGUAGCUAUUGUUGGGGGUAGUAUUUAUCAUCGUUACAUUGCACAUGCAUAGAAGAAACUACUUGCAAAUGUAUAAGAAUCACUAACAUUAAUUUUCUCAACUGAACAAAAGUGUAACAGAAUAGAUAGCUAGUAUGUUAUAGAUGAAGUAAGAAAAGUGUAGGUGUGUUGCGGUCACUUAUAUAACACUCGUACAACAUGUAUAAAAAAUAAAUACAUAUCGAAAAAGUUAUAUCAGUGUUCUCAAAAAUAUGAUUUUUUCUGUUUCAAUAUUUUAUAUAAUUACAUUCAAUUUUUUUAUUUUUUAGAAUUAUUUAAAUGUCAACGUGUCAAUCUUAACGUCUAGUUCCGUGUCAGAAAACAAUAUUAUAACUCUUACUAUUAAUGGAGUUAGUUACAUGAAUAUAAAACAAAGUGUGUUAUUGAGAAUUAGAUUAGUAUCUUAUAACAGACUAUUUUUAUACAAGUCUUUCUAAACGAUUCUCUAGCAAACACCAAAAAGAAAAGAAAAAUAUUUCAUGUUAGUUGUCAAUCCAUGUGCCUCUCACAUUCUCUGUGCUUCUAAUAAGCACCAUUGGUCAUUUCUUGGCUCAAUUUGAUUGUUUUUCUGACAUUUUCUAACUUUCAGGUUAAGCAAGUAUAAAAAACUACAAAUAAAGAACUUUCAUCAUACUAGAAGAGAAAAAUAAGGAAUAUUCUUUUGUUUCUGAAGGAGACAUGGAUGCAAAAUUUUCGCAAGUUUUUCAUAUUAAUAUAUAAAGUUCCCACCUUUCAUGAAUUCCCCAUCUUCAUGCUGAAGCACUUGCCAAUUUGUUAGGGAUGAAUAUGUAUAACACAAAGUUUGUAUACUCCAUUCAUUCAACCUCGAAAGUGUAAUUGACUUGUUAUUGAUAAGCCAAACAUGUUUUUAAUUUAUUUUAUUGAAUAGUUAACUUCGAAUUUUUUUUAAAUAAAAAACAUUUUCAAAUUAUAUUUUAAAAUAAUCAAUAUUACAAAUAAUUUAUCAAAUUAGUCAUAUUUCAAACAAACAAAAAAUUGUUGACAAGAAGAGUAACCACUAUGAGUAGCGCGUGCAUAUAAAAUUUGAAAGAAAACGUCAUACCCUAUGGCGACUGCAAGUGGCGCUGCAUGCAUCUUCUAGAAGGAUGCGCCACAGGCAGUGGCUACUGCUUUAUUUAGGAUUUCUAUAAAUAUUGCAUCCUCUCUCCAUCAUUUUUCACACAUCUUCUAAAUCUCAUCAAUAUUUCUUUAAAAUGUCUUCAUAUAUGUGUUCUUAUAUUCACAAGAGAAAUAACAAUUUAUUUGUUCGGCAGUAAAACUCCGAUGAAGAUUCGACUCUGGAACACAGAGACGUCUGAGCAUCUAAAUAGGAGUUUGAUAUGUUGGUUAGAUUAAUACAUUGUAAAGGGUGAAAAAAGCAGAAGAAUUUAAAGGCUAGUUACAAUGUAUAACAACAAUGGAGAAAGUCGUUUAUGGGACUCAAUUAAAACUGACAGAGAUGUUCGCAUUAUGAUGCACAUUUCUGAGAAAAUUGUCCGGAUGGUUGUAACCUUAAUCAUCUUCAUAUCCGCAUGGUCCCUCAUUUCAUUGGCAUGGGUAUGGUUCAAUACAAGAGAACGGGUAUCUUGGAUUCAAAUCUUUGUGCUUAUUGUUAAUUCCUUAGGAUUGGCAUUAAUUUUGUAAAACAAAUAAUGUAAUCAUCUCUGUUGUUUUAAUAUGUUGGGUUGAAGAAGUUCAACAUCUGGACCAACAUGUCAUGUACGAUGUCACACGACAUCACUGUGACAUCGUACAUGGUGAAAACAUAUUAAUUAUUCAGUAUUUAUUCUGGGUUAGUAAGGAUAUUUGGUGAAUAUCCUAACUCCCAUGUGAGUCUUGAAGACUCAAUCAGAAGAUAUAUAGGCUCAAAGUAAGGAGAUAUAUAUGGAGAGAUUUUAGGGAUUGAAGACCUUGUUUGUAGCCAGAAUUUUUCUGCUGAAAGUUGUAACAGCAAAGAAACAAGUCUGUGCGAUUUCUGAAGGCCCCAAAUCCAGUUGGGUGAUUAGUUAUAAAUAGCUAAUUGUAACCUAGUUUUUGUUAAGCCUCUUAGAAUGAAAAUUUAGGGGUGUGUGUGAGGUAAACCUCCCAAAUCUGUGGAGAGUUACCAUGUGUUUCUCAGUGGUAAAACCUGAGAGUUUUGUAACCCCGCACCCCACCGCCCGCGCCCCCCCCCCCGGCCCCCCCCCCCCCCCCGCCACCCCCCCCCCCCGCCCCCCCCCCCCCUCCCGCAGGCUGAGGCAAAGUGAUUUGUUUCUUGAAUGAAGCUGUGAAGCAAGUUCAAGGUGUGUUAACAUUACAUUGUAUUUGUAGUGAUAGGAAUGGAACCCUGGAGGUUUCUAUCUAGGAGUUCCUAGGUAAUGAUUCAUUGGUAGGAUAAGUGAAGAGUUGUAGAACGGGUGAGUUUAACUCUGAUUAAUACUGCUAAUAGGGAUCUUCUUCCUGAUUGGUAGCCCCCAGAUGUGGUUCAUGUUGGACUGACUGGUUAACAAUUUCCUGUGUUGUUAUCCAUUCUGCAUGAUGUUUAUUUACUGUCAUAAGCUCAGCAGGUAUUCCAGUCAGCUUAUCAAGCUGAUAACAGACCUGGUAUAUAGCCUUCUGUUUGAAUGUCAAUCAGAAAGGUGUGUAACAUUCAUCAGUGGGCAAGCGUAUACUGAAAAAGCAGGUUUAUUUUAGUAUCAGUAUUUAUUUUAGUCUGUUCUAUCAAGAGUAACAGACAUGGCUGAAGGAUCAGUGUGAAACUGUCAAACUGGAUGUUUUGACAGUUGUACUGAAGGCAUGAUACUGAAGUAGAAGACUGAGUUGGUCUUUUACAGUAGCUGCUAACUUAGCACAGUAUUUCCAGGAAAUAACAGAAUCAAACAUAUUUCUGGAUGUCGAACAGAAGGUCAUGACAUUCAUUCCCAAUAGCAAGGUGCUAAAGUGUAGGAAGAUUGGUUUUCAGUUCAGUAUUUUUCUCAGGCUAUUCUUCAGGGAUUCAAUAGCUGAGCUAAAAUCCAGAAAACCACUACUCACCUACAAUUAAUGAACCUAACAACUAGACCUAGUUGUUAGCAUCUAAUAAGUGGAAAUUAGAUUAACAUGUUCAACCUUAAUUCAGGAAAUCACAAGUAAAAGGAANNNNNNNNNNNNNNNNNNNNNNNNNNNNNNNNNNNNNNNNNNNNNNNNNNNNNNNNNNNNNNNNNNNNNNNNNNNNNNNNNNNNNNNNNNNNNNNNNNNNNNNNNNNNNNNNNNNNNNNNNNNNNNNNNNNNNNNNNNNNNNNNNNNNNNNNNNNNNNNNNNNNNNNNNNNNNNNNNNNNNNNNNNNNNNNNNNNNNNNNNNNNNNNNNNNNNNNNNNNNNNNNNNNNNNNNNNNNNNNNNNNNNNNNNNNNNNNNNNNNNNNNNNNNNNNNNNNNNNNNNNNNNNNNNNNNNNNNNNNNNNNNNNNNNNNNNNNNNNNNNNNNNNNNNNNNNNNNNNNNNNNNNNNNNNNNNNNNNNNNNNNNNNNNNNNNNNNNNNNNNNNNNNNNNNNNNNNNNNNNNNNNNNNNNNNNNNNNNNNNNNNNNNNNNNNNNNNNNNNNNNNNNNNNNNNNNNNNNNNNNNNNNNNNNNNNNNNNNNNNNNNNNNNNNNNNNNNNNNNNNNNNNNNNNNNNNNNNNNNNNNNNNNNNNNNNNNNNNNNNNNNNNNNNNNNNNNNNNNNNNNNNNNNNNNNNNNNNNNNNNNNNNNNNNNNNNNNNNNNNNNNNNNNNNNNNNNNNNNNNNNNNNNNNNNNNNNNNNNNNNNNNNNNNNNNNNNNNNNNNNNNNNNNNNNNNNNNNNNNNNNNNNNNNNNNNNNNNNNNNNNNNNNNNNNNNNNNUUCUUCCUGAUGCACAGAACCAGGUGUUCAUCCAUUCUAGGGUGACAUAGAAUGAGAUGUCGUGACAUCUGUGAACGUGUGCAUAUUAGUGGUUAAUAACUAUCUUGCUGUAUUAGUUACAAUGUUAGAUCAAAUGUCAUGACUUGGAGUAGAACAUCUGAAUUCUGACUAAGCCAGAAUUUCAAUUGGUAUCAGAGCAGGCAUCCUGUUCUGCUUCUGGAUGAAAUCCAUGGGUGAUACUUUCUGGUAUAUUGCAAGAAGUUAUGUUGGAACCAGUGGAAGGUUCUGUAAUUUCCAUGAAUGGUCCCUUGAAGUAGGUGGAUGGACUGUUCAUGAGAGAACUGAUGUGUACCUGUAUCUGGAGGUUGGCAAUUGGCCUGUGGAUGGGACAUUUGUGUCAGUAUUGAAUCACAUUCAAACUUGGUAUGGACUUGGAGGGUGAUCUGGUGAAAAGGGUGUUCUUAGGUUGAGUUGUAUUAUGAUUUCCGCUGCAUAAUACCUGGCAAAACUCAACCUCUGAUGUAGUUUUCCCUCAAGUGGAUGAAAGAAUGCUGAAUUCAAGAUUCCAUCAUACUCGAGUGAAGAUGUCAAAGAUACUUGAGUCCCAUAAAGUCCACUCUUCUUGGUAAGAAUCACCUGAUCACUGAUUCUUGUACUCUCCUGGUCAGUGGAUAUGAAAACCUUGAAGGCUUUCAAGGAGGGCCUGCUUCAGGGAGGUUAAACUGAUGUUAUAUGUGAUGUUAGAACAUGUUGUUCAACAAGUAUGCAGCUACUGGUUGAAGAGCAGAUGGUUUUAGGAGUCAAACAAAGGAAUACCUUGGUUUGAAACCUACUCCUGACCUGGAAGAGGAGACAUCUGUGUGAGCUAAGUUGACUAGGAUAGGGUCAACUGUGUGUAUGCUCAAGAAGGUCACUUUUAGAAGUUGGAUCUCUAGAAGUGGAGCUGGUUGAAAAGUGACACGGUGCAAUCCCCGCUGUGUGCCUUAUCCCUGUAGAUUGAUCAGGGUUGGGCAGUUGGUUUCUGAAGUACUAUAGUGUACCAGAAGACAUGUCCCCUGGAUGAUAGAAGUCAAUAAUAGGGCAACCUGACUGCUAUUCCAUUCAAGAGGAUUGGGACCAUGAAUCUUGUUAUUCAAACACCACGAUCAGAAGUGACAGUUCUUUCAAGGAGUGAGAAUAUGAAGAUUCAGAGGUUGGUUGAGGUAGUAUGCUCUGGCAAUGCAUAUCUACUAUGAACUAGUGUUGUUGUCUUUCACUAGUACUCAUGGUCAGCUGAAGUCUGAUUGGCGUGAUUGGAGUAAGUCUAGGUACAACUCAUAGAGUUAGGUGCCACUGGUAGGAAUGGUGUAUGUCAUGUUGAGACAUAUCUGUACAAUGCAUGGAGAUUGGUGUGAAGUUUCCAUGAUUGUUAAUUUGAGGGGGAGUUUUGGUUAACCUCCUCACAUUUGGUCAGCCUAGGGUCUGGUUGGCUGUUGACCUGUGUCACAUGGGUUCUGGUGGUUGUGUGACACACUUGCAAGGAAGAAUUCAUCUCUCUCAUUCCUAAGGGUGAAUUUAAUCUGGGAAGAUUUUCAAAAUUGUCUAGGUGCUUGCAAGCAGAAGAUGUUGACACAAGAAGAGUACUUUCAAAGUAUUCUUAUGGUGGAAGUAUCUGAAGGGAUGAUUGGGAAAGGAUUUAAGAUCAAUGUCUACUUGUGCCAAGUACAAGUGUUUAAUUGAUUAUCCUUGGAGCUCAAGAUAACUGAUGUUCUUAAAGAUGUUGGAACAUCACUUCUUCAAGACCCUGUGCAGAAUCACAGGAAGGAUAGUACAUUGGCUUAUGAUCUAUCUCUUUGGUGGCAGCAAAAGCAUAUGAUCUCUGAAAAGGUUUCCUGGCAAGAAACAUGUUCAGCCUUGGUAUGUACAAGAAGAAGAAGACAUCAUAGUCUUGAUGGUGGUUACUUGGAUCAGUUUAUUUCUGAUCUAGGUAAGGAAGUGCAUUAGCUUAUGCACACUGUGGAGUCAAGAACAAGUGGCAGCAGUCUUGACAUCAUGGAAACAGCCUUGCCUUAGGAUGUGGAAUCCUUGGUAGAGCUGAAGGGUUAGUUUCUAACUGGUCCUUCUGAAGACUCAUACAUCAGAGUGUCUGAUGUCUUUGGAGAAGAAGCAGGGAUUCAUCAAGGUGUGAGCUUGGAUGACUUAACUGCAAACCUGCAGGAUGGAGGUUGUUUACUCAAACUUGGUUCCACAAUCAAGUCUAUGAGAACAUUGAACUCUUGUUCUGUGAAGGGAGGAAGUUCUUUCAAGUGGCAGAAGAAGGAGCUGAAUUCAACAGCUAGAUGUCAAAACACAAUGUUGUGACAUUUGGUUCAACAUCAGAUUCUUAGUUGGUGAAGUGGCACAUCAACUUAAGAUAGAAGGGUCUACAGAGUUGUAGAUUGGGUACUUCAAAAGGAUCGUUCUCAUUGCAGUUCUUAGGAGUUGCUGGUUGGAGAAGAUGUUACAUGUUCAUGUCUUAGAGACCCUAAGCUUUGUUUAACAUGUAACUUGAAGUUCAAAUCUCACUUGGAAGAUCAGAAUAUCUUUGGGAGAAGUCUGAUAAACUUGGGGAGGUCAAAAAGCAGCAUUUGACCUUUUCAUAUGAGGAUUCAUGAAGGAGGUAAUCAACCAGUGGCAUUUGGUCUAUCUCAGAAGUGAGUUCGAAGAAUCAAGAUAAUCCAUAUAUGGCAGCUGAUUAUUCUUGAGGAAAGUCUGAGACAAAUUACUUUUGAGCAGAAAAGUAGUAAGUUGAAGACAAAAGGAGGUGUUUUCUAUUCAUCCCUUGGAGCUUGUGGUAGGAGUUCUGAGCCAUCUAUGGAAGAUUAUCUCUUGUAAUGGGAUGAAAAUGUAUAUGUCCCAAUGUAUGUCUGGGUUCUUCUUGAUCAACCCGGUGACUCAGUGAUAUCUGAAGACUAUCAGAUGGUGUGCCUUGUCCUGUUAUGAAGGAUGUCCCAGCUGAUGUUAGAACAUCUUGUGAAGUGGUCUUCUGUUCUGGUUAGAAGAGAGAUUGACACAGAGUGUGAAUGUGUUCAGCUAAGAGGGUUGAACAGAGGGUGUGCUCUUGAAGACAUGAAGAUGCGUCUUAUGUUUUCCAUUCAUCAAGUGGUCUGGAUUCUCUUUGAAUCAGGAAGUAUGUGAAGGUCCAACUUUGGGGUGUUGGAUAUGCUCAUGUGUGACCUCCAAGUGUCAAGAGGAGAGUAGGGUGUCCAUGACAGGGGGAGUUCUGUCUUUGAAGCUGCAAGUAAUUAUCAAGCUUGUGGUCUUUGUGUACUCAGAUAACUAGGUAUGGCACCUUGUCAGUUAUCAGGAUGCUGUGAUGUAUGUCAAGGCUGAGUGAGCAGAAGAAUGUCUGACCGGAUGUCAUGACAUUGCCCUGGACAAUGCUGCUAAUUCCUUCUGAAUCUUAAAAUCAGUAGGAAUUAUGAAGGUGAUGUGUCAAAUUCUGAUAAAUCAGAAUAAGCCUGAUGGCUACAGCUGUGUGGUACAGGGGGAGUAACCAUCUGCUGAAGUGUGGGAAUUUGACUGUAGCAGUGCCAGAUGUCAAGUCUCUACUGGAGGUAUGACAGGAACCUUGGGAAAUGUUGAAUACUGGCAGAAUGCAGGAAAAAGCCGCGUGGAAUGUUAAGACAUCGCGUGCAACGUGUCUGACUGCAUAUAUGGAAUAGUCUCCAUGCACUGGAACUGCUGUUUUGGAAAAGAAACAGUCAAGAGCUAUAAAAGGUAUUCAAAGAUAGUCUGAGAUUUUGUUGGUGAUUCCCUGACUGUUUCUCAGCAAACAUUAAUGAAUCUUGACCAAGCAUUAAUUCCGACCGUUAAUUCCUAAGCACGAGCUGGACUAUUUAAAGGAUGUAUUAGCCCUCUUCUUCUCACAAGAGAAACACUCCAUUCCUUCAGAAUCAAGGGGUAUGUUAAGGUCUGGGCAAGCUGCGCCUGGAUCUGGUUUUGUGAGGGGUGCCUUUACAAAUGUUUAGCUAAAAAGGGGGAGAGAAAUACAGUCCUGGGUAGUAAACAGAAGCAAGCUAACUGUGGUAGUAAACAGAAGUUGGAGUUGGUGUCAAGCACAAAAGUUGGUGUCAAGCACAAAAUCCACCAACUGGGUGUAUCACUUGUGUCUUGUGAUCUGAGUUAAUAGGACAGUUGUGUCUUGUGAUCUAAGUUACAUUAUCUAUGUACUCAGUAUUACAUAUUCUUCCGGAAGCUCUCCGGUUGAGGGGAAAGGUUCUGGUACAACUGAUCCGUGCACCUCUUCUUCCCCAUGUACACCAUCUUUGGUGCUUGUGGUGGUGGAGCCAAUGACAGAGAUGAAGAGCAUUCCCAAAUUGGGAUGUUUUGUCCAGUGUAUUGUUUAUUUGUUUUAACUAAAAUUUGCCAAAGGGGGAGAUUGUUAAUUCCUUAGGAUUGGCAUUAAUUUUGUAAAACAAAUAAUGUAAUCAUCUCUGUUGUUUUAAUAUGUUGGGUUGAAGAAGUUCAACAUCUGGACCAACAUGUCAUGUACGAUGUCACGACAUCAUGCCUGUGACAUCGUACAUGUGUAGAAAACUGAAUUAAUUAAUUCAGUAUUUAUUCUGGGAUUAGUAAGGAUAUUUGGUGAAUAUCCUAACUCCCAUGUGGAGGUCUUGAAGACUCAAUCAGAAGAUAUAUAGGCUCAAAGUAAGGAGAUAUAUAUGGAGAGAUUUUAGGAUUGAAGACCUUGUUUGUAGCAGAAUUUUUCUGCUGAAGUUGUAACAGCAAAGAACAAGUCUGCUGCGAUUUCUGAAGGCCCAAAUCCAGUUGGGUGAUUAGGUUAUAAAUAGCUAAUUGUAACCUAGUUUUUGUAAGCCUCUUAGAAUGAAAAUUUAGGGGUGUGUGUGAGGUAAACCUCCCAAUCUGUGGGAAGGUUACCAUGUGUUUCUCAGUGGUAAAAGCUGAGAGUAUUUGUAACUCAAAGCCUGUAGGCAAGAGUGAUUUUGUUCUUGAAUGAAGCUGUGAAGCAAGUUCAAGGUGUGUUAACAUUACAUUGUAUUUGUAGUGAUAGGAAUGGAAACUGGAGGUUUCUAUCUAGGAGUUCCUAGGUAUAGAUUGCAUUGGGUAGGGAUUAAGUGAAGAGUUGUAAACGGGUGAGUUUAACUCUGAAUUAAUACUGCUAAUAGUGGAUCUUCUUCCUGGCUUGGUAGCCCCCAGAUGUAGGUCAUGUUGGACUGAACUGGGUUAACAAUUUCCUGUGUUUGUUAUCCUUCUGCAUGUGUUUUUUACUGUCAUAACUCAGCAGGUAUUCCAGUCAGCUUAUCAAGCUGAUAACAGACCUGGUAUAUAGCCUUCUGUUUGAAUGUCAAUCAGAAUGUUGUAACAUUCAUCAGUGACAGCGUAUACUGAAUAACAAGCAGGUUUAUUUUAGUUCAGUAUUUAUUUAAGUCUGUUUUAUUCAAGGAUAACAGACCUGGCUGAAGGAUCAGUGUGAAACUGUCAAACUGGAUGUUUUGACAGUUGAUACUGAAGGCUGAUACUGAAGUAGAGACUAGUUGGUCUUUUACAGUACUGUUAACUUAGCACAGUAUGUUUCCAGGAACAUAACAGAAUCAGCAUAUGUUCUGGAUGUCGAACAGAAGGUCAUGACAUUCAUUCCCAAUAGCAGGUGCUAAAGUGUAGGAAGAUUGGUUUUCAGGUUCAGUAUUUUUCUCAGGCUAUUCUUCAGGGAUUCAAUAGUUGAGCUAAAAUCCAGGAAACCAACUACUAACCUACAAUUAAUGAACCUAACAACUAGCGUAGUUGUUAGCAAUCUAAUAAGUGGAAAUUAGAUUAACAUGUUCAACCUUUAAUUCAGGAAAUACAAGUAAAAGACAAACACACAGGAACAAUGUGACAGAUGAUAACUGUGUUAGAAAACAGAGUGCUAGGAUUGAUCACUGUUGAGUCUUUUACCUGAAUGCACAGAACCAGUGUUCAUCCAUUCUAGGGUGACAUAGAAUGAGAUGUCGUGACAUCUGCGAACGUGUGCAUAUAAGUGGUUAAUAACUAUCUUGUGUAUUAGUUACAAUGUUAGAUCAGAUGUCAUGACUUGGAGUAGAACAUCUGAAUUCUGACUAAGCCAGAAUUUCACUUAUACCUAGUGGAAACUAGGGUUUCCUAGCAGCUUGAGGUUGCUCAGUAAACCAAACCCUAAUUGGAGGUAUCUCUUGAUGCAUGUGUAUGUGCUAGACAUUGAAGAUUCAAUUAUGGCUUCUUGAUGAAGAAAAACUCUAGUUUGGGAUUUCCACUUGAUCAUGGUCUCAUAAACCCUAAUUAUGGCUAUCACUCAUUGUGUGUGCACCUAACCCUAAUUUCAUCUGAUUAUUCAUCAUCCAUUGUGUAUGCUUCACUUGUUUGACCAAGAUUCAUUCAAUAACCACUUGUUCGUGGUCUAUUAUGGGGGGUUUCUUUGGUUUGAUUAGCAUUCAUUUCAUGGCCUUACAUGGUCAUCUUUUGCUUGAUGGUAUCUAUUAAGUUCAAGCCCAUGACAUCAGAACUUUCUUUUGAUUUCUUUCAUUCAUGGUAUUUCAUUUGAUAAUUUCCUCAUUCUUAGCCCAUAGCUUGUUCAUGUCUUAUUUGGUUUCAUUUCAUCUGGUCACUCCUAGUGCAUGGUUCAUUUAUGGUUUGUCCAUAUGUCCAUUGGUUCAUGUACGCAAUCUCAUUGUCAAUUGGUCCUUGCUAAGGCCUAAUGUGAUUCAUUUAAGUCUUAUCAUGUUAUCAUUCAUUCAAGGGUUGAUUUCAAGAGGUUUGGAUAUGGUUCAUUCAAGGUCAUUUGUGAUGUCAUUCCUUCCAUUUUCAAUACCAUAGUUUGUUAAUCAAGUCAUUUUCAUUUCAAUACAUCAUUCAUUAUAAACCAAAUUCAAAUCCAUUCAUUAAUACCAAAUACCACAUUCAUUACAAAUCACCAAAUGUCCAUACAUAAAAAAGAUGCACACCACUUUGACCAAAUAUCGACUUUGGUCAACAUAUGACUUUUUUGGUCAACUUUGACCAAAGUCAACCCAUCUAUUUCAUAAAGCCCUAAACUUCAUGUCCAUUCAUGGCAAUUAUGUGUGGCAAAAAAAGGGAAAUUUUUGAUUAAAUUUUGAAUCAAAGAUCAAAUGGAGUAAGUGUUUAUUGCAUGAGUCAUGGUUUUCCCAUUUUUCAAAUGAUUGUAUCAUGUGUAUUGGUGGCUUUCAAAUCAAGUCAUUUUGUUCAAGUUUCUUGAAACGCGGAUGUCCUAUACCAGUUACAUCACGGAGCGGACAUCUCAUUCAACAUAAAAGUCGAGACUUGGUUGAAUCAUUUUAUGGAAAGGAGCAGAAUUCGAGAUAUUGAACAACAUUGGAAAAAGAAUCUAAUGCAAAAAUUACAGGGGUACCACCUACAGAUUUAGCCAGCGACAUAAGUUUUGAUUCGUUUUAAUUUCUUAUUUAACUGGACAAUAAUUGUAUGUAAUUGUGUCUCAAUAUAAAUAAGUGUUAUAUAUUCACCUUUUGUUCAUAUUUGUCUUAUGUUUUUUCUUUCCUCCAUGACAACAUUUGUUUUUGUCAAUGAAAAAACAGUUAUGUUUUAAUGUUCUGUUUUGAAUUGGUUCAGGACAAAUUCCAGAGAUGCAUCUCUGAACAAAGAUAAUAGGGUACGGUUCCGAGAUAUAUCUCUGGGAAUCAACAUAGUCAGUUAAUAGUGGCCAUAUUGAUCUUGGCUCUUCUUAUAUAUCUAGGUGCUCUUAUGUUAUAUUUCACAAAACUGGAAAAUGUCUAAAUCGUCACAAAUAACACGUCCAUUGCUAUGUACACGAAUGUCUCCUUCUCCGACUUUACACCCAAUGAGAAAUAUUUAAUAAUUUUUAAUAAAUAACAUUAUGAUUAAAAAAAACAUAUAAUAACCUAUAACAAUCAAUACGAUAUAAACCAUAUAUCUAAUUUCUAAAGUAAAACAAUGAAGAUGUUACAAAAAUAACUAUUGUCCAUACUAUUUGUUUUUAUAAACAUGUUAUUGCUUGUAGUAAACAUGUUAAUACUAAUAUAUAGCACUACUCCCUGUCGUGUGUGCUGGGGGGCGGGGGAGCGGGGCGGGCGGGUGGGGGGGGGGGGGAAGGCGGUGUGUGUGUUGGCUGUGUGUGUGGCGUGUGUGUGUGCUGUGUGUGUGUGUGUGGUGUGUGCGCGUGCGUGUGUGUGUGCGUGCGUGCGUGUGUGUGGUGUGUGUGCGUGCGUGUGCGCGGCGAGUGUGUGUGUGUGUGGGUGCGUGCGCGACGUGCGUGCGUGAGUGCGCGCGUGCGUGAGUGCGUGAGUGCGUGCGUGGUGUGUGUGUGUGUGUCGUGCGUUCGUGGUCGUGUGUGUGCGUGCGGGCGUGCGUGCGGUGUGCGUGUGUGUGUGGGUGUGUUGUGUGUGUGUGUUGUUUGUGUGUGUGUGGUGUGUGUGCGGUGUGUGUGCGUGUGUGUGUGGGGGUGUGGUGUGGGUGUGUGUGCGUGUGAGUGUGUGUGUUGUGUGCAUGCGUGUUUGCGUGCGUGCGUGCGUGCGUGUGUGUGUAUGUGUGUGUGUGUGUGUGCGUGCGUGCAUGCGUAUGCGUGUGUGUGUGUGUGUGUGUGUUGUGUGUGCGUGCGUAGGCGUGCGUGUGCGUGAGUGCGUCGUGCGUGCGUGCGUGCGUGCGUGUGUGUGUUGUGUGUGUGUGUGGUGUGUUGGUGUGCGUGCGUGCAUGCCGUGUGCGUGGGUGCGUGUGGUGCGAAGGGGUGCGUCGCGUGGGUGCGUUGCGUGCGGUGUGUGUGUGUGUGUGUGCGGUGCGUGCGUGCGUGCGUGGGUGGCGUGCGGGGUGUGUGUGGUGUUGACGGAUCACGUUGAUACUUGAUCUAUUAACAUGUUUAUACUUAAAUAUAAUCUUAAUAGUUCUUGCCAACUAUUAUUUAUAUUCAACAUACAUCAGAUGGAUCACGUUGAUACUUGAUCUAUUAAAAUAAAAUAGAUAACCAUGUUUAUAAUAUUUAUUGUUUAUUGUCUUGAAAUAUAAUAUUACAUAGAUUUUAUUUAAGUAUUUGAAAUAGAUAAACCAUGUUCACCUAAUACUUAUUCAUCCGUUUAAAAUAGAUAUCACUAUAGGUAUAACAUCUACAGAAACCACUGACACACUUGCUUAUUGUAUGUUCAGUGCAUCUACAUUGGUGAUCGUUUGUACAAGCCCUACCUAUAAUAAAAAAAUUAUUUAUAUUGUUAAAAUGAGAUAAAAUAUUUUCUUUACAAAGGAAUAAGAAAUAAAAAGUUAAAAUGAAAUUUGAAGAAUAAAAUGGCUCACCAUCAACAUUUGAUGCAACAAAAAAGAAAAAAAGGAAUAUAAACACAACGUACAACUUGAGAAUUGAAGCCAUUUCUUUUUCUCUUUUUUAUGAGAUAGAUAAAAUAAUAUUUGAUCAAUUUAUAGUGUAUAAACUCGAACAUCCCAUAUAAAAAAAUAAUAAAAUUAAUGUCGCUUAGGUGACUAAAUUGGUUGUAUUGUUCUUUGAUCAGACUUAAUAAAUUUGUCACAUAAAAUACUAUCUAAUAAUAAUAAGUCAUUAUUUUUAUCCAACUUAUAAUUUUUUUAAGCUUUCAUGAUAAGAAAGAGACAACAAUUUGUUAGACCACAUGAAAAUUGAUCCAAAAAAUUUAGAAAUGGUAGCUAAAUUUGUCUCUAAUUAGAUAAAAAUGAUUAAUAUGAUAUAUUUUGUAGUGAUAAAAGGUUAAUAUAAACCUUUUUUAAGUUAAAAGAUCAAAAUCAACUCCAAAGUUAACAAUCAGGAUAAAAGUGUAAUAAACCUUUUUUUAAACUUUCAUGAUAGGAAAGGGACAAUAAUUUGUUAGACCACAAAAAUUUCAUAUGCAGGAAUAAUUAGGACCAGUCUGGUAAAAUAACAAAAUCUAAUUCUUAGCACAAAGCCUCUCAAACUUGAUGCCCACCAUGUAAAACACCUUAGAGUUUCCUAUUAAAAGUGAUUUUAAGUUGAAUGGAGUGUUUGCAAAAUAUUUUGAAUCGUAUCAUAAUUUUCUCUGUUUCAUGUAAUAUUGACUACAAACUGUUGGGUGAGAAUACAUGGGUGCAAUAAUGAAUAGGGUGUGAUUAGACCUCCCAAAUAAAAUAUACUGAUUUGAAAAAUAAUUUUGAAAUUUUUUUAUAGUUUGAAAAUAAAAAUAAAUUAUGUGGUGGAAACAAUGUGCAUAUAAAAUGAUUAUGCUUAUCAAAUGGUAUGUACAUGAGACACCUCAAUCAAUAUACAAUACGAUAAAAUAUCGAAUCAAAAAGCUAGCCAAAAAAUUACCAAAAAGAGUAUUGAUUUAAUAUCAAAUUUAUACAAGACGUGUAAAUAUACCAAAUCAAUACAACAAAGAAUUUUACGACUACACUUUCAAGACUUUAUCAAUAACAAGAUAAUUUGAAGUGUGGAUUCUAAUAGAACCUACACUUCAUUGAUAAAUCACUCUCAAGGAAAAAAAACUAACCUCAUACAGUUAUACGAAAGUGGUAAAAACGACCUAAACAUACAAUUUUGCAAAAAUUGUGUGUGUGUGUGUGUGUGCGUGUGUGUUAUGUGUGUGUGUGUGCGCGUGUAUUGUGUGUGUGUGUGUGUGUGUGUGUGUGUGUGCGUGUACGUGUGCGUGUGCGUGUGCGUGCGUGUGUGCGUGUGUGUGUGUGCGUGUGCGUGCGUGUGUGUGUGUAGGUGAAUGAUGGAUGCAAUAUACAUGCUAAGAUUUGUUCGCAUGUGUGAAGGGAUGAAAUUCCCGUGACUUGAAGAAUUGGCAAAAGGCGUGAAGUAAUCGUGACUUAAUUUGAAUUGGGAGGAGCAUGGAGAACUCAUGAUAAUGAGUGUGAAGGAAAGAAUCUGACUUGUAAUCUUUGGUUUUUCUUUUGAUGUAAUUGGAUAUUAGUGAGCUUUUUUGGGAAUUAGUUUGGAUUGUAGUGUUGUUUGAAAUGUGAACAGCAUCACAAUCACAUCAGAGGAGGAGGAGAAUACACAGACAAGUCACAACACACAUUUUUCUUAGUUUUUAAUUUUAUUUGCUCAAAAGUUUAAGAGGUAUUCAAGUUAUGAAUCACCUCUGAAUUGUUCUUGAGCUAAAUCAAAUAACAAACAUGUUACCUUCGAAUCCAGCAAGAGAAAAAGAAAGAUAGAGCAUAAAGAAGUAAUAGAGGAAGAAAGAAAAAAAGGUUUAAAGCUUACCUAAAAUGGGAUCGAAGCAGCCUUUUCCUAAUCUGGGUAGAUCUUUGCAUUUUUGUUUGCUCUUUGUUCAUUUCAGACUCAUGUAGCCUUCAAUCCAUUUUCCUCUUUGUUGUUUGCCCUUGUAAUUUGUAAACGAAAAAAAAAACAUCAAUGAGUUGGGGAUAUUGGGCUUGAAAGGGGUUAAGGGUUAUUUUCUCAUGUUUGAUUUCAUAUGCUUUAAUGAUUGCAUGAUCGAUGAUGAUUCUUGUGGAUUCUAUAUCUAGGUUUAGUAUUUAAUUGUUGAAACUGGAUCUUGCGUGAGUGAUAGUUGUUCUUGGUGUGGAAAGAUUGUUAUUAUUCAUUUGUGUUUUUUGAUUUAGUGCGAAGAAGCUUCAUCCAUGGAGUUUUUUGGUAAUGUGAGAGAGAUGAGAGAAUUGAAGAAGAGGGACAUACUUAAGAAAUAUGGGAGAAAGGUUGGUAUGGUUAAUAAGAGAGAGAGAGAGAGAAGUGCGAAGAAGCUUCAUCCAUGGAGUUUUUUGGUAAUGUGAGAGAGAUGAGAGAAUUGAAGAAGAGGGACAUACUUAAGAAAUAUGGGAGAAAGGUUGGUAUGGUUAAUAAGAGAGAGAGAGAGAGAGUGUAAUUUUCACUUGAUUUUUUUAAUAUUUGAUUUCUUUUUAAUGUUUAUUGUUUCCAAUAAUUAGUAAUAAAUGUGAUUAAUGGGUUAAUAGGGGGCAAGUGGCGGCCGAGUAUACUUAGUUUUCUAGUUUUUUUUAGAGAAUUUCUUAAAGCAUCCUAGAUCUUUCUACUGCAUAACGUGAAUUUCCAAAAAUGUUCCCCAUUUUUGGAGAUACAUCUCCGGACGCACCUUUUGCACACUCAAGUAAAGCCAUUAUGAGAGGUGCCUUAUAUGUUGGAUAAUAUUUAUCCUAGAGAUGCAUAUCUGGAAUCUUUUAAGAAAGACCUUAAUUAUUUAACAGUUCAGUAGAUAUUCCGGAGAUGCAUCUCUGGAAUUAUAAGCAACAUUUUGAAAUUUACAUCACCUUUACAUGUCAGAUAUUUCCAGAGAUGCAUCUCCACGGUCCAGCACCGGAGGCAAAUUGGAUGCGCUUCCCUGAAAUGAGUCACCUAAUAGCAUGUGCGUAUGAUAGAGUGUGUAUUGACCUGACACGCUACGGUUUUUCAGAAACCUUUUUCCCACUGCGCAUCGCCCCACCCCCAAAAUCAAAAUGAUUGUAUCAUAUGUAUUGGAUGGCUUUCAAAAUCAAGUCAUUCUGUUCAAAUUUACUUGAAAUCAGGAUGUCAUAUACCAAUUACAUCACCGAAGUGGAUGACUCAUUCACCCAUAAAAGUCGAGACUUUGCCGAAUCAUUUUAUGGAAAGGAUGAAAGAAUUCGAGAGAUUGAACAACAUUGAAAAAGAAUCAAAUGUACAAAAUUCCAAGGGGGUACCACCUAUAGAUUUAGCCGGUGACAUAUGUUUCGAUUCGUUUUAAUUUCUUGUUUAAUCGGACAAAUAAUUGUAUGUAAUUGUGUCUCAAUAUAAAUGAAGUGUUAUAUAUUCACCUUUUGUUCAUAUUUUGUCUUUAUGCAUUUUUUAUCUUUCCCAUGACAACACUUGUGCUUUUGUCAAUGAAAAAAUAAGUUUUGUUUUAAUGUUCUGUUUUGAAACUGAUUCAGGACAAGUUAUUGAGAUGCAUCUCCGAAACAAGAUUAGAGGAUGCGGUUCCAGAGAUAUAUCUCUGGAAUCAAUAUGUCAGUUAAUGAGUGGUCCAUAUUGAUCUUUGCCUUCUAUAAAUAUAGGUGCUCUUAUGUUAUAUUUCACACAAACUGAAAAAUGUCUAAAAUGUCACAAAUAAACAUCCAUUGUAUGUUACAGAUGUCUCCUUCUCCGACUUUACACUCGAGUGAACGUUUAAGCUCACCAAUUCCACUUCCCUCGAAGAUAUCAAAGAUGAAAUCCACUAUCUCCUACCUUACAGAGACAAACAAAGGAUUGUGAAGCUCGAAUACCGUUCACCAUCGAUUGACAAUGAAGGGAAGAUUGAGCUCAAUAAAUUUAAGCUCAAGACGCAAGCGAAUGUUAGGGCUAUGUGGGAUACGUAUUUUUGUUUCAAAACAAAAAUUCCGCUCAAGUUGGAAGCGAUGCUACAAAGAUCGGUCGAAGAUAUUCUGAAGAUGUACAAGCGUCUACCAAGAUAUUGAAAUGUAAUAUUGUAGUUUAUGUUGAAAUCAUCUUUGUAAUGCUUAUUUUAUGUUAUGAAUGUCAAUUUCAUUUUGAAAAAUUAUUUUUCUAUUGAUUCUGAUAUUGGUGUGUCUCUCCGGAAAUGUAACUCUGGAAUAAAGUAAACAAAAAAAAGGCGUAACUCAUAAUGACCUUUAUUCAGUGUGUGUUAGAGUACAUUUUGAAAAAUUAUUUUUCUAUUGAUUCUGAUAUUGGUGUGUCUCUCCGGAAAUGUAACUCUGGAAUAAAGUAAACAAAAAAAAGGCGUAACUCAUAAUGACCUUUAUUCAGUGUGUGUUAGAGUACUUCCGAAGAUACAUCUCCAAAAUCAGAGGACAUUUGUAAAAAUUCACAUAGUGCAUUAGAAACAUCUAUGGUGCCAAAAAAAAAUCUCUUUUAUAAUAUCAAAUUCUCUCUUCUCAUUUCCAGGGGGUGAGUGGCCCUAACGUUAAUCUGAUGAAAAACAAAGAAAAAAAACACAAAAACAGCGUUGGGCAUAAGCUAUUGGCCCUACGCCAAAACCACUAGCCAUCUCCCUUUAUUCAAGUCUUGCACCCUCCUUAUUUUAUUGAGAUUAAUUAUUAUGCAUUGUUAGUGUAAAAAGUUUUACACUAUCGAUUCAUCACUAUCACCCGUUUACAUUACUUUAUAGAUUUUUAAAAUAAAAGUCAAACUUGUUUCAUUAUCCAACGAUUAUGAUUAACUGACGGUGUAAGAUCCUUUUACACUGUCAGUGUAUUUCAAUUAAAUCCUAUUUUAUUUGUUUAUUUUUUUAACUUUACUUUUUUAUUUAUCAUUUUAGUUUAGUAUUUUAGAUAAUCAAAACUAAAAAAAAAGUACAAUGAUGCUUCCGUUUUCAUUAUUCAAAUAAAUUUCAAAAAAUAUGUAUAAUAGUAGUAUUUUUCGUUGUCAAAAUUAAUUCCAAAAUCUUUCCACGAUAAAACUUUCUCAGCCAACAAUUAUACUAGUCCAUAAUCUUUCCAACAACUUUACGUAAGACAGAUCUCCACGAAAACUCCAUGAAGGAUGUGUCUUGGCGUCUCCAUACUUCUGCAUAUACGGAUAACAAUGACAGAGUGUGUAUCAAGGCGAUUUUCGUUGCAUCUCAAGGCUGCCACGAGGCAUACCUAACGAAACAUCUCUAUGAGGAGCGUCGUUCAUGUCUCCGUAUUCAAUUCACUCCUUGGAAGCAUAGUAUAUGUAUGUCUCCACUGAGCAUUAGUGAAGUGCACAAGGUGAUAAACGAAAUGCCCAAAGGAAAAUCAGAGGUUGCAGAGACAGUGAUAUUUGGGUCUGAGUCUCAAAAUUAGUGUCCUACAAACGCGACUCGGAAAUGUGUCAAUUUUGUGGAUCUAAUCAACCAUCUGGACAUAACAGAAUUAUCCAUCAUGUACUAUAUUGCUUGCCACCGCUUUCUGCUGACAAAUCUGCAUGACAUUUUGAAGAGGUAAGUGGUAUGAAAAGGCUUCAUGGUUCUUGGUAGUUUUGUAUGGUUCUUCGAGAGCAGUUAUAUGAAAAGCAGUUUGUCAUCGGAUAAAAGGCUUUUAACUUUUGACCCUGUGUCAUCCAAGAUAUUAAGGCAUUCUAUAUGAGACAAAAUGAUGAUGGAAAGACAGUUGCAGCCAUGGGCGUGUUGGUUCCGAAGGUAGUUAUAAGAUAUAUCUAAUAUAUAACUACUACUGAGUAAUGUUUGCAGGCAACAAAUUCUCAGUACUAUCCAAAAAAGUAGAAACUUGGGUUUGAAGGUACUUCAAAAAAGAAAACAUAUUUUUUGUCUGAUUAAUGUUAUUAAGCUGAGCUCUGGUUGUUUGUUUAGUGAAAUAACAAAGGAGUUAUUCCAAGGUAUAUAUUACAGUUUAAUGAUUAUGGGAUGGUGAAGCCUCUGUGAUUAUAUAAAGAUAGACAGUAGUAGUAUGCUUUUGUUUUUGGACUAGCAGAACUAUAUGCUCGUUGUUAUGAUUUAGUUUCACUCUCUUCUGGUUAGAUUGGUGAACUUAUUGGUGGAAGCCAAAGAGAAGAGCAACUUGAGCAUUUAAAAGCUCGUUUAGAUUUUUUAAAGUUGAAUAAGGAUGCAUAUUGAUGGUAUCUUGAUUUGCUUCAAUAUGGACCAGUUCCUCAUGCUGGUUCUGAUUUGGAUUUUGAAAGACUUGUCCAGUUUGCAACGGGAAUGGAUGAUAUAAGAGACGUUAUUCCUUUUCCUAAAACAUCUGGCACGGCCGAGUUCUAAUCUUUUAGACCCCAACAAAAUUGAUGUGUGACUUUCUCUCUGCUGGUUUUUCUAUGUGAUUUUGCAGGUUUGCAGGCAUUUGUCGUCGACUUUACGAUGCGUCUGCACUAGGGUUGCGCAGGAUGCAGGAAUAGGUGGUUGGUUGUUGGUGCGUACUGCAGCUCUUUGCAGUUUGGAUUUGCAUAUCCCAUGUUUAGUGCAUAGUGCUGAUAUCAACUCAACAGUUUCUCAGUAAUUUCUUGGACAGCCUUAUUUUUCUGUUGUGGAGUAGAAGUACUUGAUUAACUUAUGUUGUAGUUAUAAUUCUUAUGUUUUGUAAGAGAGUAUAGUUUGGUAGAUUGGAAUAUGUUGUGGAUAAAGACAUAUCCGACUAGAUUAUGCUUCCGGGUUGGGAUGCUUGAUUGCUUUGGUUUAAAUACAUCACCACACAUAUACCGGCAUCGAGCCGAACAGCUGUAGCCAUCAUCAACACUGUCGAGUGCAAUCCGCCGAGGCAUUAAAGUAUGGUUUACAAAUCCUAAGAGUUUGAAUUUUAUUCAUAUAGCUCUGAACCGAAAGAUUGUGCAGGUGAGUUACCCUCUAGUUGGUUUUACAGUUUCGGUUCACUUUCCCAUGCAGCAUGUGAAGCGCCAUUGGUGCUUCCAUUGGGAGGUUUCACUUAUGGAGAAAAAUGUCUAUUCCUAGUUAAUGAUUGGCAUGCCAGCUUAGUUCCAGUACUUUUGGCAGCCAAGUAUAGCCCGUAUGGGGUAUAUUAGGAUGCACGUAGUAUAGUAGUGAUUCACAAUAUUGCACACCAGGGGUGAAACCUGCAAUUACAUAUAGCAAUUUGGGGCUGCCUUAUGAAUGGUAUGGAGCCCCCCGGAGUGGGUGUUCCCUACAUGGAUGAGGAUGCAUGCUCUUGACACAGGCGAAGCUGUCAAUUUUCUAAAAGGCACCAUUGUUACGGCUGAUCAGAUAGUAACAGUAAACAAGCUUUUGUUACAGCAUCUUUGUAUACAGCAUGAGAACUUUAAAUCAAGACCUGAAGUGGGUGCCAGCGGGAUGUCUCUUUGACAUUGGCACUUGUUGAAUUUGUGUACCAUCUCAAUUGCAUCUUUUUAUAUUGUUGGCUAAUAAUUGCCAGCUUGUGUUAAUUGUUGUUAGCAGUCCAAAUCUUGCUGCUAAAAGGAAACUUUCAAGGAUUAUAGCAAUCUCGUUACACAUGUUUUAGGUGAGUCAAAAUGUUCAGAUCCCAUUCUCCACUAUAAUGAUAGUGCACUUAGCGUCAUGAGAACUCAUCAUGAUCAUGCAAAGAUAAAUCCCAUCAAGUGCAUUAAUAAACAAGCUUGGUUAUAGAUGUAACGAUUCAACCAUAGCACAACCGAGUCACACCUAUCACCUGUGAACAACAUGUAAUUAAUUUGGAUAAUUGUCAGCUUGUGGUAAUUGUUGGCUUAUGAUCCUUUCAAGAUGGAUAGUUUUCUUUCAUCGAGAUGUCGCUUUCAUACCCCUUCAUGUAUUUUCUUAAAGAAUCCAUUGUCGUAAUUGUCUGCAAACCAUUACAUAUUAUGUAAAGAGAUAAAAGGCAACAAGUCGUGUCGUUGCAUACUAAAUAUGUCAAAUUGAAACAAGAGUAGCAAACUACAACACAAUAAAAUUAGGGGUUGGACAAAUACAAGGAUAUAUUUUAAAUUAAUUAUCUUUAUUGUCGAAAAAGGCGAGCUAUAUUUCUAUGUCAUUCGUAACUAAUUUAGAACUUAUAUUAAGUAAAUAAGUGUUGUUCCUUUCUUCUACGAGGACAAGAGACAUCUUCUCUUUUCUAAACUCUUAAAAUUAUGCAGGAUAAUUGUCGAAACAAAGACCGGAGAGAGACUUACCCUCUAAUAAAAGUAGGGACUGAGAACGACGAAGACCUCCUCAAGAGACAGAUCGGGUCACGUUAAAUAAAUCUCUGACCUUAAGCAAUCGGCCACAUAAAUGCCAAACCUCUGGUCGGAUCGGGUGAAAUAAAGGGUUUGACCUCCAUUUGACGUCAACCCUUAUGGGGCUCUGAACAUCGGUCAUGUAAAAUAAAUAUCCUGAUCUCCAUUUGACGUCAACCCCCAUGGGACUCUAAACGUCGGUCAUGCAAAAUAAAGUCGCUGACCUCCAUUUAACGUCAACUUUUGUGGGACUUUGAACGUCGGUCAUGCAAAAUAAAGCCUUAGACCUCAUUUUGACGUCAACUCCUAGGGAGCUCUGAACGUCGGUCAUGCCACAGAGCCUCUGACCAAUACCACGUCAACGGUUAUUGACACUAUGAAAUUGGCUAAGUAGAAGCAAACCUUUGGCCGAAUCAAAAGUUCGUGUUAAUAAAAAACUUUGGCAUCUCGAUCAAGUUGACAUACCUUUGUCCUUAAGUAGUUUGAUUAAAUUUAUCACUGACCAAAUAUUCGACAUGAUCUACCUGGGGUUAAGCCGAUUCUUGUUCAAAAUUAAUAAGAUCUCUCAAAUCAUUAAGGCUCGAUUUGUUGGGGCUUUAAACCUAUACGGUAUAAACUUCAGCUAAAAGAUAAGUUGACUCGUUUGAAGCCGACCAUUUUAUCUGAUUUCCAUUCGAACACAUCAGUUAUUACCAAAGAGAUAAAAUACAUUAGGGUUACCUAACAAAUUCAAAAGGACUAACACAUUAUUCUCAGAGGACCAGGAAAGCGUCAAAACAUUACAUAAUGCACCCGCAAAGGAUAAUUCAAUAAUUACGAACCAAUGUUCUGAUGAGAGAUCUCUGAUUUUAAUCACACCAAAGAUUCUCGGGUAUUUGACCCCAACUCACAUGGGUCAUGUAAAGAAUGAAGCAAGACAUACUUGGAAUUCGCCAACAUCUUAUCUAUCAGGAUUUAGUUACUUAUAAUAUUUGAAAACCCACGUAGGAUAUCACAAUUCUAAUAAUAGGGACAAGCUUUAGCUUAAUUAAAACGAGACGCUAAUAAGUCGAGAUCCAACUAAGGCUUCCCGACUUCUCUAUGUCUAGAACCUACCGAGUUUUAUGACACCAAUAGAUCGAGAUCCCACUAGGGCUCUCUAACUUCUCUAUGUCUAGAACCUAGUGAAUUUUAUGACACCAAUAGGUCGAGAUCCUACUGGGACUCUCUAACUUCUCUAGGUCUAGAACCUUCCGAGUUCUACGACAUCAAUGGGUCGAGAUCCCACUCGGGCUCUCUGAAUUUUCUUUGUAUAUAACCUACCGAGUUCUGCAACGACAAUGGGUCGAGAUCCCACUAGGGCUCUCCAACUUCUAUAUGCCUAUAAACUACCAAGUUUUACGACAACAACGGGUCGAUAUCCCAUUGGGGCUCUCCGACUCCUAUAUGUCUAGAAACGGUUUGGAAACCAUGUCGAACUAGAGUUAUGAUUGGAUUCCCCAUAAAAUCAGACCAGAUGGAAGUAUAACCCAUUCAAGAAGAAAGAAUUUCAAGAUUCUUUGUCUGAAUAUUCAUCUCAUUGUGAUUCAUGAUCGAGAGGCUUAUGUACAUCCUGAAAUUCUUAAAGUCGAGUAUGUUUCUCGGAUUUUGAUAAGGCUGAAGAAUUAUUAUGAGGUCGGGCAGCGAGUUCCAUAUUCAUCCCAGACUCAAUUGACUGGGCUCUGAAGGAACGAGUCAAGUCAUAAUCGUUGUAACAUUCCUGGAAGGUCGAAGACCGUUACAGAAUGAUUGAUAAUUUGUUACAUAUCACUAAUAGCUACUAAACCCAUUAAAACUACGUCCAUUUAAUAUUCAAGAGGGAGAGCAAGGUUUGCAUAUAAAUAGGUCUUGAGACCAAACAAAUAAGGAGACAUUUGAUCAAUGAAUAACAUUAGAAAGAGAGAAAAUACGCGAGAACCUUGGAUUACCAACAAUGGUGGCCAAGAUUCCUCCCUAACCUGCCUCAUGCCAGACAGGACGAUUGUGAUCCCACCUGACCAGCUUCAGGGGGAUUUCUCCAAAUGAUAUUUAUCAAAAAUAUAAAUAAUAAAAAAACAAACAAAAAUAUCAUAAUAUUGACCAUACAACUAAUAUUCUAACUUACAAAAACUAAAUAAUAAAAUACAAAGUUAUAUGAACAAGGUGAGUUUUGGGGUACUAGUGCCCCCAUUUCUUAGUCAAUCCCUAAAUUUUGUAAUCAAAGAAUAUUUGAACCUAAAUCCAAUUAAAACGAUUUUUCUAUAUUAAAUUUGGAGUGAAUUCAAAUGAGUAUUUAUUAGUUCGAUUUUUGUUGCUAUGAAUAUAGCCUUGAGAACAAGAACUUAAAUAGAGGGGUUGCGAAAAUUGGGAAAUGCUCAUUCCAUCCUAUGGGGUGCGUCCAACACAUAUGUAAACCCAAAAAUGCCAUUAUUUGUGUUCGAAGGUGCAUCUCUAGAUGCACCUAAAAUCACAUAAACUUUCGUAAUAUCUGAUAGCCACCCAUUUUGAGCAAAAUAUGAUCCGGAGAUUUGUAUAUUAUUUGGGGUGUAUUCGGAGAUACAUGUCCGAAAACCCCUAUGAAUAGUUUCAAGACAGUAACAUUGUCCCAAAAUUUAUAUUUUUUAAGGUCAACUUAUGUUUUAGGCCAUGAGUUAAAAUACAUAUACAUUAAUCGAUUCAAACAUGCUACACAUACAUUAAAAAAGUCACACAUUAAUUAAAGUAUAACCAAAAUGUAAGGAUCAUACAUAACUUGUUCCGAAAAUACAAAAAAUAUUAAAAUCAAACAUAUACUACUGAGAAUGUAUAACCCUUAACUUCUCUGUUUGUACUGUAAGGCAUUUCAAGUCUCGACAAUAACACCUUCUAAGAGGGCCAACUAGAGAUUGCCUUCCUCAAAAAGUCCAACCCAUAUGCAUGAUCUCUUCAUAUCCACAACAUGCUGGCAAACAUUGCUUACGUCCUGGGUGUGGUUAUUCGUAACCUUAAGCACCCCUUGAUUAAAUGGCGUAAGCGGCUUUCUAGAAGCGUCUGAUGUCAUAAUAGGGUGUGAUGCCAUAUAGAACCAUGUCUUGUAGGCGUAUGCACAAGUCCAAUGUACACGAGCUGACAUCCUAUAAUACUUCUCUGGUACCAAAUGACUCUAGAAAUCCUCAAGCAUCACAUCAAGAUCUCUGCGAUGGACGAUGGGAGAAGCGGACUUUGAGGGGUAUCUCAAAGUAAUAUGGAAAUAUCCAAACUGACACAUCACUCACUUGGGAAGAUACAUAUACAUCAGGCAUAACCCAUGUGCUAGCCAACAGGAGUAUAAUGAAUUGAGGUUUAGCUGACGCAUUUAACGGUGACCUUCAUAUGGGUAAAAGACAAUGUCAUAUGCUAUAAUGUAAUCAAGAUACACUCGGAAGGGCUCGAUCUCCUAAUUCCAUAUACACGGGGAAAAUGCAGCAACACGUGACUAAUCCUCAUCGUAGUUAGGCACAUGUUUCCACCCGAAAGUGCGAGGAAAGUGAGAGAUGAUCCAUCCUUAAAAAAGGGUUACGAUAAAUAUUAGUAACAAGUGUAACAAAAGAGAUAAAAAUAUCAGUAACAAUAAAUUACCGUAAGCAGCGUAUAACUUCCUGUCAUUUGCUUUGUCUUACAAAGAUAACCCUCGUAAAUCGCCGUCAAGUCGAUGAAGUAUUUAAGGCAUACCACAUCGACGUAGGUUGCACUUUUGCACACAAGUAUGGACGUGUCAAUCAGGUACAAGAGCUAACACCUUAAUUCACACUAUCGGUGAUACUUAACCUACAUAUCAUCACCGUCGGCAUCCACAACCAUCUGCAGGUGGUCUUUAUAAAGUUUCUUCUAAUAAAUUAAAUAUAGCAUGAGCACCUCUAGUGCCAUCUACCUCAUUUGCAGCCUUAGUUGAGUCAACCCCCAAAUAUGUAAUCAACAUCUCGUUGUCUUCCUCUCGAUUGAGUCAUCAGUGGUCCAAUAAUUUUCCCAUAAUGGGAAGAUACAAGAGGCACGAGACAUCAUCUAGGGUGAUGGUCAUCUUUCAAAAAAGAAUGUGGAAAUAUGAAGUCUCUGAAUUCCAUCUUCCUGCAAAUUUCGCAUGCAUGUAAUGGUUUAUGGUAGUGUAUGCAACAACAUAUAAAUCAACAAAAUCAAAGUAGCAGAUACCAUUUUUGAACCAGUCAGUGUCAGGCUAUUCCAAAUCCACAAUAUUUCUUAUGUGGUUUAUAGAUUUUAAACAUAGAUACUCAUAUAAAAAAACACCAUCAAUCACAAUUAAAUUUGUUUAAAACAGAUGUAAUGGAAAUGUAAAUAAACAUACAUCUCCUUCCCAUACAUGUCUUGAAAUAGGGUAUCUAUGGAUAUGAAGCAAAAAUGUGUCAAAUGGGCCUCACAAAUAACUAUAUACAUGGGCAUUAAUAAUAGGUUCCUCUUGGGCUUCAGGUGCUUCAUCAACUAGGGAUAUGUGACCCCGUGAGGUAGAUAUCUGAGAUAGGCGACUAAGGGAAGUAAAACCAGAGCCAUCAAACAAGGUAUCAUCGACUCGUGAUCUCAUAGCUCUUCCCCGUCCCUCUCACGUUGUACAAACACAUGUUAGGACACAUGGUUAAGCCUAAUUCCGUUCAGGUUGUUUUCAGUCACUGCACUUGUAAUAAAAUCAGAAAGUCACAUCAAAAUUCAACCAAGAUGUAGUCAGACAUAAAUUCAAAGAUACAUCUCCAAAAGCAUCUUAGACAUAAUCCGAGAAUGCAUCUCCGAAUGAACUCAAGAUUCAUUGAUGGCUUAACAUCCAACCAAAUGAAAAUAAAUGCCUAUAUCAACUACCUAUUUCAAUUGUACUACUAUCUAAUGUAACUUAAACAACCUAUGUUACUUAAAACAUCAUUCAAAAUACAAAAAUAGAAUGAAAUAAUAUACUUACCAAAUUAGAGUUGUGGAUGAAAAGCUUGAAUGAAGUGAGUGAUAAUGGAGUGAAAUGCAGCAAAUGAAGUAGAAUGAAGCUUGAUGAAACUUGUUCAAAUAUGGUUUGGAAAUAGUUUGCAACAAGAGAGCUUACAUAUAGUUCUUUAAGUGACUUUUCAAAAAA
This 31524-nucleotide long non-coding RNA is filed under the name Lathyrus oleraceus (garden pea). Its description in RNAcentral is "Pisum sativum (pea) long non-coding RNA (PSAT_LNC032519)". The record is from RNAcentral. Lineage: Eukaryota; Viridiplantae; Streptophyta; Magnoliopsida; Fabales; Fabaceae.